UACGUAGGGUGCAAGCGUUGUCCGGAAUUAUUGGGCGUAAAGAGCUCGUAGGCGGUUUGUCGCGUCGAAUGUGAAAACCCGGGGCUCAACCCCGGGCCUGCAUUCGAUACGGGCAGACUAGAGUUCGGUAGGGGAGUCUGGAAUUCCUGGUGUAGCGGUGAAAUGCGCAGAUAUCAGGAGGAACACCGGUGGCGAAGGCGGGUCUCUGGGCCGUAACUGACGCCGAGGAGCGAAAGCGUGGGGAGCGAACAGG
Molecule: ribosomal RNA, 253 nt
Filed under: uncultured bacterium
Lineage: Bacteria
Description: partial 16S ribosomal RNA
Rfam family: Bacterial small subunit ribosomal RNA
Source: RNAcentral